Molecule: non-coding RNA, 70 nt
Organism: Dipodomys ordii (Ord's kangaroo rat)
Lineage: Eukaryota; Metazoa; Chordata; Mammalia; Rodentia; Heteromyidae
Source: Rfam
GAUGCUGUGGCUCAGUGGUAGAGUGCUUGCCUUGCAUGCAUGAAGCCUUAGGUUCGAUUCCUCAGCACCA